Molecule: long non-coding RNA, 846 nt
Organism: Xiphophorus hellerii (green swordtail)
Lineage: Eukaryota; Metazoa; Chordata; Actinopteri; Cyprinodontiformes; Poeciliidae
Exons: 2
Source: RefSeq, a predicted model, not a curated record
AAGAGACAAACGUCUUUAGACCAUCCUAUAAACUAGGGAUCCUCAACUCCAGGCCUCAAGAGAACAACGUGUGUCCAGGUGUUUGAUGAGGGAGAUGCUGACCAAUCCUUGGCUUGUGUAACCAGGAUAAUUUUUCUAUACUAGAUUUAGUUAUUUUAUUUUUUAUUUUGUUAGAUUUAAUUUAUUUUUAUUUAAAAGUUUAAUUAAAAUCCCCCUUUCUUUAAUCUAUUUAACACCAACCAGGCGAGAACAACAUUGUUCUCGCGCGGGUUUGACGUCAUGUGACAGCUGCACGUCAGCGUCCUAAAUUGACAGCUACGGCUUAUAUGGCUGCUAAUCGCACCUUAGGUAGGAAACGCUGUCGGACCCUGACGUACAGGUAGGCUUCUGCUCUGUUCCCAAAGCGGUUUUCAGAUAUCUAUUGUAUAUCCUUCAAUCGUGUACCUCUGUUAACUUGCAGACGGGCGAUUAAUCAACCGAACGUUGUAAAGAUCACGGUUGGUCAAGAGGGAACUGGCCAGGUGUAUUUCAGAUCCCCCACUCAAGGAGUGGCUGAAGGGUCUGGAAUACAGCAAGGAUUGUCUGGCUUCAUGCUGACCAGACUGGCGAGCUAACCGGAAAUACAACACCUAUUAUCUGAGGAAACUCUUCCGAACUGGUUGGAGAUUCAGCCCAACAAGUCUUCACUGAAGGAACUGGAUUAUUAUUAUUAUUUUGUUUUUUCCCUUUUCAUCAUCAACAAAGACUGGUUGACUGCCUUGGUAUAAGGAACUCUUUUGGACUCUAAACUGUGGACUAACUUGUAUAUAUUGUAAAUAUUAAUAUAACUCACCAAUUUUUGCACCA